UGGGGAAUAUUGGACAAUGGGCGAAAGCCUGAUCCAGCCAUGCCGCGUGAGUGAUGACGGCCUUAGGGUUGUAAAGCUCUUUCGCUAGGGACGAUAAUGACGGUACCUAGACAAGAAGCCCCGGCUAACUUCGUGCCAGCAGCCGCGGUAAUACGAAGGGGGCUAGCGUUGUUCGGAAUUACUGGGCGUAAAGCGCGUGUAGGCGGGCGAAUAAGUCAGGGGUGAAAUGCCAAGGCUCAACCUUGGAACUGCCUUUGAUACUGUUCGUCUUGAGUCCGGGAGAGGUGAGUGGAACUGCGAGUGUAGAGGUGAAAUUCGUAGAUAUUCGCAAGAACACCAGUGGCGAAGGCGGCUCACUGGCCCGGAACUGACGCUGAGACGCGAAAGCGUGGGGAGCAAACAG
This 403-nucleotide ribosomal RNA is filed under the name uncultured bacterium. Its description in RNAcentral is "bacterial SSU rRNA". It matches the Rfam family "Bacterial small subunit ribosomal RNA", at positions 355 to 775 of the family's 1533-position model. The record is from RNAcentral.